This is a long non-coding RNA of Pezoporus occidentalis (night parrot), 4134 nucleotides long. RefSeq lists it as uncharacterized. The record is from RefSeq and is a predicted model, not a curated record. The transcript has 2 exons. NCBI's taxonomy places the organism in Eukaryota, Metazoa, Chordata, Aves, Psittaciformes, Psittacidae.
ACACUUGGAGGGUGCUUCAGAGAACAAGCUGUCCAUUAAACAUCUCUCAUUUCAGUCAUACCCCAAAAUACAUAGGUAAGUAGGAGGGUAUCACAUACAACGCUUUGAUAUUACACUCAUAAGUACAUGAGUGUUACUUCUGUUGCUGUGUGACUGCUGUAGAUGUGUUUGCUAAUUACAGAUCUCAGAGCACUCUGCCGGAUGCAGUAUAAUUGCAAAUGUGGCAAUCCAAAAUUAUAAAAGGAGGAAUUUGACUGAGCAAUAAAUGCUGUAGAUGUAUGUAUAUGUGAAGUUCAGCAUGACUACACGGGUCAUGAUUCAGCCACCUGUCAGAUCCUCCUACUGGUUAUAGUCAUACUAAUGAAAAGUCACAUCCUUUAGGCCACUAAUUGUUGCUGUAAGACAUUGCAAAUUAGUUUGUAGCUUGCUCUAAUAUUGGUUUUACAGUCAAAAUCAAAUCUGCCUUUCUACUGUUUAACUACAGUUGUAGCUAUUUAACUGUUAUGCCUCAUGUAGUAUUUUUAAUAGUUUGUAAAGUUUUAAGCUCACUUUAAGCAUCAUUUUUUUUAACAUCUCAUGAGAUAUACAUAGGCCCAACUUCCAUGAAAAUGCUCUCUCAAAGCACUUAAUGAGCCAAAUAGUAAGUGCUCAGUUUUCCAUUACUUCAUAGUUCUUAGGAGUUCAAGAAAAUGCCAGAUAUAGUCUGAAAACCAUUUACCAUUAAAAAAAAAAAAAAAGGAAGUUCUAAGGGAUAUGAUUACAGUAAGCCAAGUCUGGUUUGCAGUCCUACUCUAUGUGACUGCACAGGAGAUUUAAAGGUCAACUUCCCCUCCAGUCAGAUCAUUUCUGGACCCAGAGAGCAACGGGUAUAUUUGAGAUACAUCCUUCAGGUCCUGCUUCACUUCAGACAAUGGAUGGUUUCCCUUUUGAGCACAUAGAUAUAUAACAGAUCAGAAAAAAGCGAAACAGGAAACUAAGAAUUAUUAGAGAAAUCUAAUUAUACAAUAUUUUAUGUACAGUAUUAAAGGCAAAGUAAGGGUAAGCAUCCCAAACAAAUUCGUGGACUUAGUGUGUCUAAAAUGUCUAAAACUGGCCUUGAACUCAUAACUUUCCUCCCAGUCACCAACCAAUGAGCACUGUAUGAAUAGCCGGAAAAGACAUGGCGUUGGGGCUUCAACCAUGGGAAUUCACUUACACAUCCUUGGAGACUUUUUGAGAACAAUGACACUACUGAAAUGCAUUUCUGACCUCAGAAACUGAAUAUCAGGUUAAAAAGUUUGAAAAGCUUAUGGCUGCAUUAUGCAUCACACGAAAGCAGGAUUAGCUUAGAACACUAACAGAACUUUAACUGCACCCCCACUGCCAAGUACAGACCAACAUGUGCUUCCAGGAGCACCAGCAGGGACAAAAUCAGGAUUCUGAUCAGUUUGUGUCUGGUGGUUGAUUAUCUUCAGUGCCUAGACAGGAGAUUCCUUUAGUUGAAAGCAACCGGGCCCCUGUCCUGUGCUCCUGCUCAAGUUCCCUGGGUCACAUGGAAUGGCUUGUGCCUUCUUCACUAUUCUGGCAGCAGCAACAGGAGCUUAGCACCUCUCAGGGUGGAAUCUCUUCUUUGCUACUCUUCCAGAGACUGAGGUCUAGCAGUCAGGCCUUCUUGCCAACAGAAAUUAAGCCCAUCCUACAUUUCCACAAUUUGCUUUGGAAACAGUAACUUGUAUGAUCUCUGUUUGGAGCAACUCUUAAAAUGACGUUUCAUAAACCUUUUAUACUUCUUUAGUAACCAAUCUGUGAUGUGUAAUUAGAUGCCAGUUCCAAAAGAGAACAGUGCUGUCUCAUCUGAAGUGGUGGCUGGUGGUAAUGAAUAUAGAAUUAUGAAGAUAGGCGCAUAAAGGUUCUGCUUUACAAGAAGAAUAACCACCUGUUUUCUAUAAAUGCCAAUCUAAGAAGAUACCUACUCAGUAAGAUCACAACUGUUAAGUUUCGUUGCAUCAACACCUGACUAAUCAGACAAUAAUGCACUAAAAAGUAAACUAUCUACUUGCGAAUAGAUCACUAAUUUCUGAAAGAGAGAAAUUAUUCUCUUUUACAUAUAAGAUCUUUUCUUUGGCUGUAAUAUUCAUUCCAGACUGGAAGCAGUUUUGGUUGGGUUUUUUUUUCAGUAUCUUUUCAAGGGGAUUGUGCAGGUUCACUGAUGAAUGCUAACAUUACACAAUGUUUACCCAGUACUAAGCUUGAUGGAAACAUUAAUCAGAAAAUAUAUAGGUUUACAGAUUAUAAUGAAAGGUUUUGUAGCAACAGCAAGCCCUGGCAUUCCCUGAACAGAAGCUAGAGAUGUAUGUUUGCCAAGAGAAACAGCAAGAUGUGGCCAACAGUAGAAGGCUUUGAGAAAAUAGAAACACAAGAACUGUUUCCAGUCUAGGUCAUCUCUCGCCUCUCAGCACUCUCAGUUUACUUUUGAGCAGGUAUAUCCAGAAGCUGUACCCCAAUUACUCAUUGCAGUGAUCCAACAGGAAUCCAAGCACCCCUUUUAUAUUAUUUCUGUUAAUUUCAUUGGAAAGAGAGCGCAUAACACUUGGAAAGAUAUUUAGAGUUUUGCAAUGCUGUUUUGCUAUUGCCAGUGGUUUGAUCUAUCAUGCAAUAAUUGCCAACACAGUUCUGUGCAACUAAUUGCACUGAAUUAAUUGCUGGUGUAACUCCAUCUGGUAGGAGUUCGUGAAGUUCAACUUCUGAUGCCUCCGCCAGCCCUGUUUACUUUCCCUAUCACAGCAGCUGGGUCAUAGUUUAGCACUGUACCAACAAGUUGGUGGCACAUCGCAGCCAGCUCCUCCCAGCUCAGGCAGCUCUCAUUUAAGGCAGGACUCAACAUCCAGAGCCUUUGCCCACACAUACUUCCACUGCUACUGGCUCCUCAUAUGAAGUUUGUACCACAGCCACCUUUUGCCCAGUUUUCCUGCAUGGCUGGCUGCAGAUUUGCCAUCCUGUUCGGCCUCUCAGGCAGAUCUUCAGACUUCUCAGUUUCAGGCAGUGCUUAUCCUCUGUCACAUUAGCACACAUUUCACAGAAGAGUCCAGCAUGUCUUUUCAUACAAUUCAUACAGUCCACCACUUCCACAGGUAAAGCAGAGCCAGCAUCCUUCCAAAGGGCCAUCUUGUAAAUCUCACCUUGCAAGUAUAGCUGCUGCACCUCAGAGAACUGAGACAGUGAGCACAUUCACAACACAUUAGAGAAUUACUACAGCCACACUGCCACGUGUAUUGAAAUUACACGCAACUUUCCACAGGCACUGUACAUGAAAAGGAUAAUUCAUUUAUGUAGAGAAGUGAUUACUUUGCUGGAACAAGUCGUCCUGCCUAUAGUUCCACCCAGGCUAAAUUAAUACCACAGCUCCUACUACACUUAUGAGAGAGUAGGGCAGGAGAGUAGCACGUUAAAUACAGGGCAAUGCUUAAUGUAACCACAUGCAUGGUUUACAAGAGAAGUUGCCUAUCAUUUACUAAAGCCGUGAGUUGGGGUUUAUUAGGUAAAUGCCAGAGCUAUUGCAAAACUGCAAUGGCCUUGUUCUAAACAUUUUAAUUGCAUAGUUGUUAGCCAAAGCCCUUCUAAUACAUUGAUGGCCAUUUAGUGACAUAUACUACAUAUUAAUAGUAAAAAUGGAAAUAGCACUGAACAGAAUGGGUUGCACAUAGUCAUCAGGACUGAUUUUUCAAUACAGAAAUAUGAAAAUUACCCAGAUUCAGGUUUCAUUGGUGCCCAACUUUUGCUCUUUUUUUACCUUUUUUAGACUAAAAAAGUAUUCCCUAAAAUUUCAGUCAUUAGCUGCUGUCCUGUAAUUGUAUAGUCCAUAGUGAAGAAUGCCGUGGCUUACCUCACUUGUUGGCAGGGUCACUAAUAGCAGUCCUGGGCCCAGCUCCACUCUCUUCAUACACCAAAAUUCCCCAGAGAAAGACCCAGCCUACAUGUCUCACCCCAAGCAUAGUGUUUGUAAGCUUUACUGUACCUAAACCAAAACAAUUUAUUUUCAGGACCCUGGCAUUCUCUAAAAGUGAGAGCAUAAUAGCAACUAGAGAAAAAAAAAAAAAAGAGAGAGAAUUAAAAGCUGAGCACUGAAUGGCCUGAUUGUACUUCACUGUGUAAAAA